UAAUACGAAGGGGGCUAGCGUUGUUCGGAAUUACUGGGCGUAAAGCGUGCGCAGGCGGCUAUUCAAGUCAGUGGUGAAAGCCCGGAGCUCAACUCCGGAACUGCCAUUGAAACUGUUUAGCUCGAGUACGAGAGAGGUGAGUGGAAUUCCCAGUGUAGAGGUGAAAUUCGUAGAUAUUGGGAAGAACACCGGUGGCGAAGGCGGCUCACUGGCUCGUAACUGACGCUCAUGCACGACAGCGUGGGGAUCAAACAGGAUUAGAUACCCUGGUAGUCCACGCCGUAAACUAUGGACGCUAGCCGUUGGCCAGCUUGCUGGUCAGUGGCGCAGCUAACGCAUUAAGCGUCCCGCCUGGGGAGUACGGCCGCAAGGUUG
RNAcentral lists this ribosomal RNA (375 nucleotides) under uncultured bacterium. RNAcentral's name for it is "bacterial SSU rRNA". It matches the Rfam family "Bacterial small subunit ribosomal RNA", at positions 521 to 896 of the family's 1533-position model. The record is from RNAcentral.